CUCCGUUUCCCAAUAGUACUGAGGACUGAACCUGAACAAGAGACUGCUGGUCAGAAACAAGAACAACUGGGAGUCUUGGAGAGCUCGCCGUUGUCCCACACUGUGCCUGCUUCCAGGGAGUACAAAGCCAUGUCGGAUCCAUGCCCAGGACUGUUAGUUCAGCUACAUGGCAAGUCCAUCUGUCCCUGGAGCCUGGGACUCUAGCAGGUGAUGCCAAAAGAAGGAAGACUCUCAAGCUGUUCCCUCUAAAGCACUGCUGGUCAGUUUAGUUGUUGGAACGUCAUAGACCUGGGUAGUUGUCUUCUUGUCCUGUCGUCUUCUUUUCCUGUGGGAAACGCACCGAGAAGCAAACUGCCUCCUGGAUCUCUCAGCCUAUGAUACGGGUUGAGACUCACCCUCACUUUGAGACUGACUUUGAUAAUGAGGUGGAAGCGCAGAGAACUUAGCUGGGACUCUAGCAGGCAACGGCUUCCAGAGCCCACCACUAAUCACCAGAAGGCAGUGCUCAGCAGGCAGUGGUCUCCAGAGUCCACCCCUAAGCACUGGGGACCAGUGCUCAGCAGGUAGAGCCCACCCCUAAGCACUGGGGGGGACAGUGCUCAGCAGGUGGAGUCCACCCCUAAGCAUUGGGGACAGUGUUCAGCAGACAGAUCCCAUCCCUAAGCAUUGGGGACAGUGUUCAGCAGGCAGUGGUCUCCAGUGUCCACCCUUACACACACACGGGAAGCAGCCCCUUCAGGCUAAUCAGUGGUUCUUCUUCUCCCGUGAUGAUUCCUUUCAGAACUCCUAGUCCAACAAGAAAAUUAGUGUCACAGAGAAGAACGGCACAAAUGAACUGGGAAAAGAAGCCUGAGUUUGGUUUCUAGUCCUUUCUCAGUCUCCCUCUGUGAAGUGGAUAUAUGGGAUAGCUCUGGGUACCAAGAAAUGAUACCCACGGAGAAAUUAGCAUAAAGAAGUCAAAACACAUUAGUACUUGUUGUAUAUGAAGUAUUUCCCCAAUGCUCUUGUAUUGAACGUUUGAUCCUCGAUGCCAAGGUGGGGCUUCUGGGAAUGGAAGGGCUCAUGAGUUUCUUGCUUUGUCAGUGGAUCAAUCCUGUGGUAUAUUUGUGAUCUGAUGGCCCUGUUUGGAAAGUGAUGGCAAUGCUGGGCGGUGAGGCCUGUGGCAGGAAAUGGAUCCCCGAGUGAACCACAUGCCUUUGAAGGAUGAAUUCUGUCCUCUACCCCUUCCUUUCUGUCUGUCUGCUUCUGGCUGCCACAAGGUGAUGUGAUGUUAUGUUAAAACAAUGACUUCCCCAUCCUGCUGUACCAAGCAUUAAAAAUAGCACUUGGAGUUUUUGUUAGCAGCUCUCUUGGGCAUCGGCUUCAGUACUAACCACCUUUGUACACAGAACCGCUUUGGCUAGGAAAAGGGAAGUUGAAAGUCGCAAAGAGUGGUAAAAAUCAUACAGGAAGAAAACCAUGGCAGCUCAACGUCGACCCCCAGGAACACUUGAAGACUUCUCUGGUGUUAUUCCUCUUCUGCCCAGCGCUUUCACAAAACUGUUCGCAGUUCCCACACGCCGACUCUGUUGUAGACAUGGAGGGGAGGCUGGAGAGCGAGAGCUCCCCUUGCGGGCUAGGCCUGCAGUUUGCUGGGUGGCCUUGAGCAUGCUAAGUAAAAGCUGUUUGAUUAGGUCGUAGGACUGACGCUAGGCAUCGCAGAUACAACCACAACCUCCAACUCCCGAAACCACUUUCAUCGCGAAGGGAUUGUUAGCGUGGUCCGUUUUCUGGAUGUUUCAUUUCUGUCUGAGAAAAAAACCCUAAACUUCACUGUGCAGUAUGUCGAACAACCCACCAACAUCCUCCCGUGCCCGGGACUAAUUUGCUGCUGCUAGGGUAGCAUGUGUAGAGGGAAGUGGUUCUUCAAGCGUGGUUUCUGCACCAGCAGCAUCAGUACCACGGGAGACCGUGUAGACUAGCAUAUUCACACAGACCUGCGGGUCCUAGAGCCGCUGGGACUGCUUUCCAGGGGCUUCGGGUUCGACACGGAUGGAUUAGUUUUAUAAUUUGGAAAUUUUAUUCUAUCACUCCAAUGAAUCAAAAUUCUGUGUAAAGCCUGACGAAGAAACCCUGCCACUGAUUUCUUCCUUAUACUCUCUGAUACAGCUCGGACAUCUGGAGUCACCUAUCAUAGUCGAUCUUUAACAGGGCGAUCCCGCAAACCGCCUUUCCCACACCUUUAAAAUGUUCUGUUCUAGUACCAAGUUUAAAAGCCUUAACAAAGGAGGAGAUUAAAGUGCUCUCAUGUGGUUUGCAGACACGUGGAUCUAUAGAUUAUCUAUAGUCCUCGCUCAGUGACUAAUGAGAUCGGCUGCAGGACUGAGAGACACAUCUGGUCAUCCAGAGAUGAGUGAAAUCACAGGUAGACUCGUCCCUUCUCCAGCAGAGCAUGAGAACUUGGAUGUGUGUGCCAGUAAGGUCAGCUGACUUUGGCGGGUCUUGUUGGUUGAAGAAUGACCCAGUGUUUCCCAGAGCUGGCUGAUACUCAGCAGAGCAGGGAGCCAGUUUAGUGUUUGGCAGAAUGGCGCUGCUAUUAACCAGGGUGGGUGGGGAAGCUUACAUCACGGAGAUGGGCAGACCCUGUAACUGAGGACUUACAUACCUAUGUAGAUUUAUGAGAACACGAGGUUCGUAAAUGCCUAUUGGCUGAGCUCAUCUACUCAAGAUUGAAGACUCGUAAUUAUGAGACCAGAAAGGUGUGCUAGGGCUUAAGAUCACACACUACUCUGGCAGAGGCAGAGGACUGAAUUUGAUUCCCGGCACCCAUGCCAGAUUGUCCACCACUGUCCCUAACUCCAGCUCUGCAGAGGGUCAGGGAUCCACUACCCUGUUCUGGCCUCUAUGAGCACCUGCCGUCACACAUACAUACCACACGUACAUACCCACAAAUGAAAAUAAAAUAAAUCUUAAAAGUGGAAAGGAUCACGCUGUGUGUGUCAGGUUGACACCUGCACUGGAAUAGCAGAAGAUUUGCUGGGGGACGUCACGCCACCUGACUGCUGUUGUCUUUGCUCCAGCAAUAAAUUCCCUACCACUCAACUGAACACUUCGGUAUAGACCAUCUAGGUAUCUGCCGGGAACUCUUGUGUCCUGCUGGCCACCACCUGUUGCUACUGCCAAGAGGAAGACCUAAUGAGUAUCAGAACUGGGGGGCUUGGCCACCUGAGGGACCCCUGGUCCAUGCUUUGUCUCCUUCUCCUUGUAGUUAGCUCUCUUGCCAACUACAGGACCGUAGUUCUCCGUGAAAGGACUGUCUUCAUUUGAUUUAAGACAUCACUGGCUCUGCUGCAUCAGGUCUCCAGAUGUGCUCCAGUCUCAGCUCAGGAUUAGACUUAGGUCAAGUUCAAAUGAGGACGCCUUCUUCUAAUUAGCCUAUAGGUGAUUUAUUGAGUUGC
This is a long non-coding RNA of Alexandromys fortis (reed vole), 3437 nucleotides long. RefSeq lists it as uncharacterized. The transcript is spliced from 6 exons. NCBI's taxonomy places the organism in Eukaryota, Metazoa, Chordata, Mammalia, Rodentia, Cricetidae. The record is from RefSeq and is a predicted model, not a curated record.